CACACAGGCAGCAAGAGAAAGCGUUUCUCAUUGGAUUUGAUCCAUUUAAUGUCCUAGAAAACAUUUUUAUAGGUAGAAUUUUAGCACAGACUGUACUAAUUUUAACACUCGUGGACAUUAUUUUUGUAUAUUUAAUCUAAUCCGUCUGAGAGAUAUACUUAUUGCAGACAAUCUACAGGCCUAAAGGACAGAAAAAUGAGCGUUUCAAGUACUUAUAAAUUCUCUUCUUAGAGGACAAGACUGAAACUGAUUUUCACAACCCAGUGCUGAUCACUGGCAGUUUAUCUGCAGUAUGUCAGGAGAGCAAGGAAAGGUUUCUCCGUCUGAGAUGAGUCUCUCACAGAAACAGAGUGUAAGAUCAGGCUCACAUGUGUCCAGCUCUGUGUCUGUGAAGAGUGACAUGUCAAAGGGUGUAGUACCUGACUUUAGUGAAGAAACAGCAUCACAAACCAAAUGCAGGCUUCAGAAUAAAACCUUAGAUCUAAAUUUCCAGACUAACAGGAACAACAAGGACUUUACAAACAGUUUCCAGUGGAUCUUCAUGGUAAUAAAACACGUUUUUGUAAAUUAAUAAUUAUGACAAAUAUGUUAUUGAAUAAGAGUGCAAGAGAAAUGUUAUUUCUAAUUCUUGACCAUUUUUUUUUCUUUUUA
Long non-coding RNA from Labeo rohita (rohu), 651 nucleotides. RefSeq lists it as uncharacterized. The transcript is spliced from 4 exons. NCBI's taxonomy places the organism in Eukaryota, Metazoa, Chordata, Actinopteri, Cypriniformes, Cyprinidae. The record is from RefSeq and is a predicted model, not a curated record.